AAAUUUUCAGCUUUUUAUUUCACCAACAAAAUCAAAUACGAAAUUUGGCUGAGACAUUUUCUAUGCAUAAAAAAAGCUAAAAUUUGUCCUUCCAAAUUUUUCCUUUUCGCUAUAUAACUGAAAGUUAAGAUACAAAUAGUAAUAAGAGUGUUUUGGCUGAAAAGAUGCAUAAAGCUUAAAAAGUUGCUUUUAAAAAAUUGGGUAUAUUAUUUUUCACAAAGUCACUGAGCUAGCGAGAAUACAAAUAUGUUUACUUUUGUACAAAAGUACUUUUUGGCUUGUGUAGUUAAGCCUUUAGAACCAACAUACUAGCUAAGUGGAAAGAGAAUUGGCAACAGAAGUAGAAAGUUAAAGGUCUAUUUAUUUAGUCUCUACUUCACUCACUUAUUUUCAGCAUUUUGGAAAUGUCUUGAGUAAUGUAAAGAAAAAAGACAACGAGUAUACACAAAUAAAACAAGAAUGGAAAAAAGAAAUGGGUGGAAUCGUAGAAAAAAAAAUCAAACAAUGGGGCUCUAUACCUUUUGAUAGCUGCUGAACCUGAAACAUCAUAAAUCGAACGUGGAGGGCAAACAAAAGGCGCGCUUAAGUUGUUUUUGGCUGCAAAUUCAAAAAAAUGGAGAUUUCAAACUACCCCAAAGGAUUGGAUGAACGAAGAAGGAAGGAGUAUGUAAGUAAGAUCGCGAUUGCGGCCAAAUAUCCUUACCUCCUCAGGUGCACGGAGCAGUGUCUGCCAUAAAACGUUAACUACGUAAAGAUCAUUAAUUAUCUUCUACAAGGAAGGAACAUGGUAACAGGAGGCAAACUCGAGUCCAAUAA
Molecule: long non-coding RNA, 816 nt
Organism: Eupeodes corollae
Lineage: Eukaryota; Metazoa; Arthropoda; Insecta; Diptera; Syrphidae
Exons: 3
Source: RefSeq, a predicted model, not a curated record